This 229-nucleotide ribosomal RNA is filed under the name uncultured bacterium. RNAcentral's name for it is "partial 16S ribosomal RNA". It matches the Rfam family "Bacterial small subunit ribosomal RNA", at positions 568 to 796 of the family's 1533-position model. The record is from RNAcentral.
UCCGUAGGUGGAUCAAUCAGUCAGAGGUGAAAUCCUGCAGCUUAACUGUAGAACUGCCUUUGAUACUGUUGAUCUUGAGUCAUUAUGAAGUGGUUAGAAUGUGUAGUGUAGCGGUGAAAUGCAUAGAUAUUACACAGAAUACCGAUUGCGAAGGCAGAUCACUAAUAAUGUACUGACACUGAGGGACGAAAGCGUGGGGAGCGAACAGGAUUAGAUACACUGGUAGUCC